UGGGGAAUAUUGGACAAUGGGCGCAAGCCUGAUCCAGCCAUGCCGCGUGAGUGAUGAAGGCCCUAGGGUUGUAAAGCUCUUUCAACGGUGAAGAUAAUGACGGUAACCGUAGAAGAAGCCCCGGCUAACUUCGUGCCAGCAGCCGCGGUAAUACGAAGGGGGCUAGCGUUGUUCGGAUUUACUGGGCGUAAAGCGCACGUAGGCGGAUCGUUAAGUGAGGGGUGAAAUCCCAGGGCUCAACCCUGGAACUGCCUUUCAUACUGGCGAUCUGGAGUUCGAGAGAGGUGAGUGGAAUUCCGAGUGUAGAGGUGAAAUUCGUAGAUAUUCGGAGGAACACCAGUGGCGAAGGCGGCUCACUGGCUCGAUACUGACGCUGAGGUGCGAAAGCGUGGGGAG
RNAcentral lists this ribosomal RNA (396 nucleotides) under uncultured bacterium. RNAcentral describes it as "bacterial SSU rRNA". It matches the Rfam family "Bacterial small subunit ribosomal RNA", at positions 355 to 768 of the family's 1533-position model. The record is from RNAcentral.